AAGGAUUGCUGACUGAUAGUGCACAAAGUACUGUGAAGGAACUAAUGAAACUGGGCGAAAAUACUAACUAAACUAAGUGCGCAUUCCACACAAAUGUGAGCAUUAGCGCAUAACCAUUCUCCAGGGAAUUUAAACGCACAAACCUAUUAAACUUCGUAAUAUAUUACACGUUCAACAUUUUUACA
RNAcentral lists this ribosomal RNA (185 nucleotides) under Chlamydomonas incerta. RNAcentral's name for it is "large subunit ribosomal RNA". Lineage: Eukaryota; Viridiplantae; Chlorophyta; Chlorophyceae; Chlamydomonadales; Chlamydomonadaceae. The record is from RNAcentral.